AGAGCGAACGCUGGCGGCAGGCCUAACACAUGCAAGUCGAGCGCCCGUAGCAAUACGGGAGCGGCAGACGGGAUAGUAACACGUGGGAACGCGCCCUUCGGUUCGGAAUAACUCAGGGAAACUUGAGCUAAUACCGGAUACGCCCUUACGGGGAAAGAUUUAUUGCCGAAGGAACGGCCCGCGUCCGAUUAGCUAGUUGGUGAGGUAAUGGCUCACCAAGGCGACGAUCGGUAGCUGGUCUGAGAGGAUGACCAGCAUCACUGGGACUGAGACACGGCCCAGACUCCUACGGGAGGCAGCAGUUAGGAAUUUCCGCAAUGGGCGAAAGCCUGACGGAGCAACGCCGCGUGAGUGAUGAAGACCUUCGGGUUGUAAAGCUCUGUCGGAGGGGAAGAACACAAUGACGGUACCCUCAAGAAAGCCCCGGCUAACUACGUGCCAGCAGCCGC
Molecule: ribosomal RNA, 449 nt
Filed under: uncultured bacterium
Lineage: Bacteria
Description: SSU rRNA
Rfam family: Bacterial small subunit ribosomal RNA
Source: RNAcentral